UGGGGAAUAUUGGACAAUGGGCGAAAGCCUGAUCCAGCCAUGCCGCGUGUGUGAAGAAGGUCUUCGGAUUGUAAGGCACUUUAAGUUGGGAGGAAGGGCAGUAAGCGAAUACCUUGCUGUUUUGACGUUACCGACAGAAUAAGCACCGGCUAACUCUGUGCCAGCAGCCGCGGUAAUACAGAGGGUGCAAGCGUUAAUCGGAAUUACUGGGCGUAAAGCGCGCGUAGGUGGUUCGUUAAGUUGAAUGUGAAAGCCCCGGGCUCAACCUGGGAACUGCAUCCAAAACUGGCGAGCUAGAGUAGGGCAGAGGGUGGUGGAAUUUCCUGUGUAGCGGUGAAAUGCGUAGAUAUAGGAAGGAACACCAGUGGCGAAGGCGACCACCUGGGCUCAUACUGACACUGAGGUGCGAAAGCGUGGGGAGCAAACAGG
This 429-nucleotide ribosomal RNA is filed under the name Pseudomonadota bacterium. Its description in RNAcentral is "Proteobacteria bacterium partial 16S ribosomal RNA". It matches the Rfam family "Bacterial small subunit ribosomal RNA", at positions 355 to 776 of the family's 1533-position model. The record is from RNAcentral. Lineage: Bacteria; Pseudomonadati; Pseudomonadota.